UUAGCAUAAGCAUUAUACCGUGAAACUGCGAAUGGCUCAUUAAAUCAGUUAUCGUUUAUUUGAUAAUACCUUACUACUUGGAUAACCGUGGUAAUUCUAGAGCUAAUACAUGCUGAAAAUCCCGACUUCGGAAGGGAUGUGUUUAUUAGAUAAAAAACCAAUGCCCUUCGGGGCUUUUUGGUGAUUCAUGAUAACUUUACGGAUCGCAUAGCCUUGCGCUGGCGACGGUUCAUUCAAAUUUCUGCCCUAUCAACUUUCGAUGGUAAGGUAUUGGCUUACCAUGGUUUCAACGGGUAACGGGGAAUUAGGGUUCGAUUCCGGAGAGGGAGCCUGAGAAACGGCUACCACAUCCAAGGAAGGCAGCAGGCGCGCAAAUUACCCAAUCCCGACACGGGGAGGUAGUGACAAUAAAUACUGAUACAGGGCUCUUUUGGGUCUUGUAAUUGGAAUGAGUACAAUUUAAACCUCUUAACGAGGAACAAUUGGAGGGCAAGUCUGGUGCCAGCAGCCGCGGUAAUUCCAGCUCCAAUAGCGUAUAUUAAAGUUGUUGCAGUUAAAAAGCUCGUAGUUGAAACUUGGGCCUGGCUGGCGGGUCCGCCUCACCGCGUGCACUCGUCCGGCCGGGCCUUCCUUCUGAAGAACCUCAUGCCCUUCACUGGGCGUGCUGGGGAAUCAGGACUUUUACUUUGAAAAAAUUAGAGUGUUCAAAGCAGGCCUUUGCUCGAAUACGUUAGCAUGGAAUAAUAAAAUAGGGCGUGCGUUUCUAUUUUGUUGGUUUCUAGAGACGCCGCAAUGAUUAACAGGAACAGUCGGGGGCAUCAGUAUUCAGUUGUCAGAGGUGAAAUUCUUGGAUUUACUGAAGACUAACUACUGCGAAAGCAUUUGCCAAGGAUGUUUUCAUUAAUCAGUGAACGAAAGUUAGGGGAUCGAAGACGAUCAGAUACCGUCGUAGUCUUAACCGUAAACUAUGCCGACUAGGGAUCGGGCGAUGUUCUUUUUCUGACUCGCUCGGCACCUUACGAGAAAUCAAAGUUUUUGGGUCUGGUGGGAUAUUCCCCCCC
Molecule: ribosomal RNA, 1061 nt
Filed under: Alternaria alternata
Lineage: Eukaryota; Fungi; Ascomycota; Dothideomycetes; Pleosporales; Pleosporaceae
Description: SSU rRNA
Rfam family: Eukaryotic small subunit ribosomal RNA
Source: RNAcentral